RNAcentral lists this ribosomal RNA (274 nucleotides) under uncultured bacterium. RNAcentral describes it as "partial 16S ribosomal RNA". It matches the Rfam family "Bacterial small subunit ribosomal RNA", at positions 523 to 796 of the family's 1533-position model. The record is from RNAcentral.
CUACGGAGGGUGCAAGCGUUAUCCGGAAUCAUUGGGUUUAAAGGGUCCGUAGGCGGAUUAUUAAGUCAGAGGUGAAAUCCCACAGCUUAACUGUGGAACUGCCUUUGAUACUGGUAGUCUUGAGUUAUAUGGAAGUAGAUAGAAUGUGUAGUGUAGCGGUGAAAUGCAUAGAUAUUACACAGAAUACCGAUUGCGAAGGCAGUCUACUACGUAUAUACUGACGCUAAUGGACGAAAGCGUGGGGAGCGAACAGGAUUAGAAACCCUAGUAGUCC